UACAGAGGGGGCAAGCGUUGUUCGGAAUUACUGGGCGUAAAGGGCGCGUAGGCGGUCUUGUAAGUCCCGCGUGAAAGCCCCCGGCUCAACUGGGGAAUGGCACUGGAAACUGCGAGGCUUGAGUUCGGGAGAGGGAGGCGGAAUUCCGGGUGUAGCGGUGAAAUGCGUAGAUAUCCGGAGGAACACCGGUGGCGAAGGCGGUUUCCUGGCCCGACACUGACGCUGAGGCGCGAAAGCUAGGGGAGCAAACGGG
Molecule: ribosomal RNA, 253 nt
Filed under: uncultured bacterium
Lineage: Bacteria
Description: partial 16S ribosomal RNA
Rfam family: Bacterial small subunit ribosomal RNA
Source: RNAcentral